This is a non-coding RNA of Callithrix jacchus (white-tufted-ear marmoset), 867 nucleotides long. Lineage: Eukaryota; Metazoa; Chordata; Mammalia; Primates; Cebidae. The record is from RefSeq and is a predicted model, not a curated record.
AUGGCGGACGACCCCAGUGCUGCCGACAGGAACGUGGAGAUCUGGAAGAUCAAGAAGCUCAUUAAGAGCUUGGAGGUAGCCCGCGGCAGUGGCACCAGCAUGAUAUCCUUGAUUAUUCCUCCCAAAGACCAGAUUUCACGAGUGGCAAAAUUGUUGGCAGAUGAGUUUGGAACUGCAUCUAACAUUAACUCAUGAGUAAACCGCCUUUCAGUCCUGGGAGCCAUUACAUCUGUACAACAAAGACUCAAACUUUAUAACAAAGUACCUCCAAAUGGUCUGGUUGUUUACUAUGGAACAAUUGUAACAGAAGAAGGAAAGGAAAAGAAAGUCAACAUUGACUUUGAACCUUUCGAACCAGUUAAUACAUCAUUGUAUUUGUGUGACAACAAAUUCCAUACAGACGCUCUUAUAGCACUACUUUCAGAUGAUAGCAAGUUUGGAUUCAUUGUAAUAGAUGGUAGUGGUGCACUUUUUGGCACACUCCAAGGAAACACAAGAGAAGUCCUGCACAAAUUCACUGUGGAUCUCCCAAAGAAACAUGGUAGAGGAGGUCACUUAGAUUUGCGUUUUGCCCGUUUAAGAAUGGAAAAGCAACAUAACUAUGUUCGGAAAGUAGCAGAAACCGCUGUGCAGCUGUUUAUUUCUGGGGACAAAGUGAAUGCGGCUGGUCUAGUUUUAGCUGGAUCUGCUGACUUUAAAACUGAACUAAGUCAAUCUGAUAUGUUUGAUCAGAGGUUACAGCCAAAAGUUUUAAAAUUAGUUGAUAUAUCCUAUGGUGGUGAAAAUGGAUUCAGCCAAGCUAUUGAGUUAUCUACUGAAGUCCUCUCCAACGUGAAAUUCAUUCAAGAGAAGAAAUUAAUAGGAUGA